This is a long non-coding RNA of Oncorhynchus keta (chum salmon), 2724 nucleotides long. RefSeq lists it as uncharacterized. The transcript has 4 exons. The record is from RefSeq and is a predicted model, not a curated record. NCBI's taxonomy places the organism in Eukaryota, Metazoa, Chordata, Actinopteri, Salmoniformes, Salmonidae.
UUCCCUGUUGCGCAUUUGUCUGUUGAUAUCACCAUUGUUCCAUUUGGCUGCAGAUGAAAACAUAUGCUCCGGUUGGAAUGUUAUUGGAUAUAUAUGAAAAUAACAUCCUGAAGAUUGAUUCUCUACUUAGUUGGACCAGUUUAUUUGACCUGGAAUAUAUCUUUUUUAAGUUUUCGUCCGAGUUCGCCUGGACCAGCGUCAGCUUUUGGGCACGUGAGCUGAAAGUGGUACCAAAUGCAGCUAAUUGGACACUAGUAAUGGACCUUAUGGAAAAAAACAACGAUUUAUUGUGGAACUAGGACUCCUUGCACUGCAUUCUGAUGAAAUAUCAUCAAAGGUGAUUUGGUGAUGGGAGCUGUGAGCUGUGCAGGCAUGUUGGCCUUAAAGGAUUCUGGGAUCUAUUCUCUCAUCACCACUGUACCGUCCAAGUUACUGCCCUCAGGCCCUGUUGAAGAAAAUGGAAAGUCAUCUGAAAAAGACAAUUCUGAUACGUAGCACGUAUACAGCUCAAUCCCCGACAGACCAGCAACAUCAGCCCAGCUGGAUGGGUUGUACAGUCUUCUGCAGACACACUGAAACUACACCACUGGCUCUCUGUUUGUCUCACAGACAUACUGUUUCUUUCAGGAUGUCCUUUAUUUAUCACACAUCAGUAUCUAAUAAGUAUCUAAUACAUCUACUGCAGUACAGUUUCUAGGCAUAACCAUCAUAAAGGGCUGCCAUCCCAUGUCACAAUGUGUAGAAUUGUAGGAAAUUAGCUUUAUAACUGCAAAGGUUUCUCCGCCCCAUGGCAAAAUUUGAAGAAUUUGCAUGAUAUUAACUUUAAAGUUGCACAUUUGUCACUCCCAUGCCAUGAGGGGGCCACUGAAAUGUUUUCCCUCGAGGUGAGCAAAUCUAGCUUAGGUCCCCUAAAAUGCUAGCAAUGGUUCUGAUCUACUGUAUCACACAUGGACACCUAGUUUCUGUUACAUGCCAAUCCAUAAUAAUGGUUACUGUGUUUGAAUUUUUUGGGAGGCUUUGGGUGGGUUCGGCCGUACUCCCCUUUAAAACAAAAUAGUUUCCCCCCACCAGUAAAUGCUAAAUAUAUACUGUUAUAUUGUUGUCAACAUCAGAUCAUCAAAACUGGAAAAUAUAGAUAUCCUAAAUGCUUUUAAAAUCUCCCCAUUUCCCAAUGUUUACCUGUCACUUUGUCUACAUACUCAUCUCAUAUGUAUAUACUGUACUCGAUACCAUCUACUGUAUGCUGCUCUGUACCAUCACUCAUUCAUAUAUCCUUAUGUACAUAUUCCUUAUCCCCUUACACUGUGUAUAAGACAGUAGUUUUGGAAUUGUUAGUUAGAUUACUUGUUGGUUAUCACUGCAUUGUCGGAACUAGAAGCACAAGCAUUUCGCUACACUCGCAUUAACAUCUGCUAACCAUGUGUAUGUGACAAAUAAAAUGUGAUUUUAUUUUAUUUUAUUUGAUUUGAUUUAUUUUUCCAAGUUACCAGCUUAACUUCAAUUUACUCACGCACUUCAGAUUCUCCCCUUCAAUGUGCAGUGUUGUAGACACAUUCUAGAUUUAUAGUCCAGUGACUGCGUAGCAGUUAAGUUGUAAAUGGUGUGUGACCAUAACCUUCAUGAAACAAAAUUACCCACUUAAUUAACAUUGGAGAAUCGCUUCGUUUGACCAUCCUUAUCUGGUGAGUUUACAGAUGUAGGAUCUUAAUUUGAGCCAGAUUGCUACAGCAUAAAAAUUAUCCUGCAGCAUCUGGAAAUGUGAAUUAUUAUGUGUAUUAUAAUGUAUGGAUUUUUUGGGGGGUUUAUACAUUUUUCUUUAGGGCUAGUUUAGUCUUACAUUUCAAAGUGGAAAUUACAAACUUUAGAAGUCUACAUACACUAUACAUUUGCAUUUCCUGCUCUGCAAAAUUAUGUCAGUUUAUACAAUUUUAAAAACAUUACAAUACAUUCAGACUGUGUGCCCUCAAGCCCCUACUCCACCACUACCGCAUAUAUACAGUACAUAAUCCAUGUGUACGUGUGUGUAUGCUAUCGUGUGUGUAUGCUAUCGUGUGUGUAUGCUAUCGUGUGUGUAUGCUAUCGUGUGUGUAUGCUAUCGUGUGUGUAUGCUAUCGUGUGUGUAUGCUAUCGUGUGUGUAUGCUAUCGCGUGUGUAUGCUAUCGCGUGUGUAUGCUAUCGCGUGUGUAUGCUAUCGCGUGUGUAUGCUAUCGCGUGUGUAUGCUAUCGCGUGUGUAUGCUAUCGCGUGUGUAUGCUAUCGCGUGUGUAUGCUAUCGCGUGUGUAUGCUAUCGCGUGUGUAUGCUAUCGUGUGUGCAUGCUAUCGUGUGUGUAUGCUAUCGUGUGUGUAUGCUAUCGUGUGUGUAUGCUAUCGUGUGUGCAUGCUAUCGUGUGUGUAUGCUAUCGUGUGUGUAUGCUAUCGUGUGUGUAUGCUAUCGUGUGUGUAUGCGCCGAUGUUUGUGUUGCUUCACAGUCUCCGCUGUUUCAUAAGGUGUUUUUUUAAUCAAAUUGUAUUGCUUGCAUGAGUUACUUGAUGUGGAAUAGAGUUCCAUGUUGUCAUUACUAUUUUCAGUACUGUGCACCUUCCAUAGUCUGUUGGACCAAGAGACCUCUUGUGGCAUGUCUUGUGAGGUAUUGCAAAUACAAAAUCAAAUGCUUUUUUGCUCUGUUUGAAAUGUUCUCCUCUGUAAGACAAAAAAGCAAGCAGAAUAAAUUGACUUCAACCAUU